Molecule: long non-coding RNA, 509 nt
Organism: Oncorhynchus keta (chum salmon)
Lineage: Eukaryota; Metazoa; Chordata; Actinopteri; Salmoniformes; Salmonidae
Exons: 3
Source: RefSeq, a predicted model, not a curated record
AUAUUCACAAGAGUACAUUUACAAUUAAAUUAGACCUAGCUUUACAGCAGCCGACGGGAGUAAAGUAUACGGGAGUUGUCGAGUAGGUGGCGGUAAUACAACAUGUUGGAUGCCAACCGCUGUUAAACCUCAUCGAAUAUGAAGCAGGCAACCGGGACCUGCCAAACUUUGCUUACGUUACCGCCGCCGUUCGCAAGUUGAGCUGCACAGCACAGCGUGGUACAUUGCUCCCGUUUGAAGAUGGUGCCCCUGCAGUAGUUUUUGUGGGGAAGAGUGAACCUGCACCAUGACUUGCCCUGUCCAGAUCCUAUGCCGGACAGACCGGUCUGUGAGCCUGGUCGUCUUUUUCUGUCUUCUCCAUCGGCAUUACUUUUUUUUAACAAGUGGCUAAUGAAGCAGUGGUAACUGUGGGUCUUCCUGUUCUGUGGCGGUCCUCAUGAGAGCCAGUUUCAUCAUAGCGCUUGAUGGUUUUUGUGACUGCACUAAAAUUAAAAUAAAGUUAUUUAAAU